Molecule: ribosomal RNA, 106 nt
Filed under: Chelonoidis abingdonii (Abingdon island giant tortoise)
Lineage: Eukaryota; Metazoa; Chordata; Testudines; Testudinidae
Source: RNAcentral
UUUUGCAGCCAUACCAACCUUAGGCUGUAUUCUUAUAAGAUCUGAGGGUGGGACCUGGUUAGUGGUUGAUGGGAGACCUCCCAGGAAAUCCCGGUGGUAGUUCAGU